RNAcentral lists this ribosomal RNA (253 nucleotides) under uncultured bacterium. Its description in RNAcentral is "partial 16S ribosomal RNA". It matches the Rfam family "Bacterial small subunit ribosomal RNA", at positions 524 to 776 of the family's 1533-position model. The record is from RNAcentral.
UACGAAGGGGGCAAGCGUUGUUCGGAUUUACUGGGCGUACAGGGAGCGUAGGCGGUUGGGCAAGCCCUCCGUGAAAUCCCCGGGCCCAACCCGGAAAGUGCGGAGGGGACUGCCCGGCUAGAGGAUGGGAGAGGAGCGCGGAAUUCCCGGUGUAGCGGUGAAAUGCGUAGAGAUCGGGAGGGAGGCCGGUGGCGAAGGCGGCGCUCUGGAACAUUUCUGACGCUGAGGAUCGAAAGCGUGGGGAGCAAACAGG